Varroa destructor (honeybee mite) is the source of this 531-nucleotide long non-coding RNA. The record is from RefSeq and is a predicted model, not a curated record. NCBI's taxonomy places the organism in Eukaryota, Metazoa, Arthropoda, Arachnida, Mesostigmata, Varroidae.
GUCAUGUUUAUCUUUGUUCGAAAACUUCCUGUGAAACUUACUCGACAGGUCUUUGAAGCUAGUUAGAGUCAACGACCGUUGAUGGCGAGAAUGGGUCGAAAGAGUCAGUUCUGCUACUUUUUCCAAAACAAACGUUCCUGCCUCAUUUGCCUGCACGCACUUCCUGCCCGAGCUCAGAUCUACAUCAACGCAUCUGGCAACACCGCUAGCCAUCACAACCAGUAUCUUCACCAAUGAUCAUCUUCAAGAACCAAUAAUCAGUCUCUUCAGAAAAACAAGGAUCAAGAAAAUACUUCUCUAAAGCAUCAACCUUCCAGUGAUACGACCCGUAAUAGCCUGUGUUUCGUUUCGCAGCCUUUUGUCUGCUGGCUUCCAAAUACAUCGUGGGACGCCUUAACGCCAACGGCAACACUGUUUUUGUCAAAAAUUUUUCUGACGCGAGAUGAAUGUAUUACGGCCAUCUUUCAGCCCGCAAUGAUAACCGCCAAAUUGGACAACAGUGAAUCUGACUAACGUAUAGGACGCGACGCU